CGCUAUAUAAGUAUCAGUUUCUGUACUUUAUUGGAGACGCGUGUGGCGCACACACAUACACGACUCACGUUGUCACACAAUUGAGAUCUGGUUGAUUCUGCCAGUAGUCAUAUGCUUGUUUCAAGGACUUAGCCAUGCAU
This 140-nucleotide precursor RNA is filed under the name Leishmania amazonensis. RNAcentral's name for it is "partial precursor ribosomal RNA". The stretch from base 85 to 140 matches the Rfam family "Eukaryotic small subunit ribosomal RNA", at positions 1 to 56 of the family's 1831-position model. The record is from RNAcentral. Lineage: Eukaryota; Euglenozoa; Kinetoplastea; Trypanosomatida; Trypanosomatidae.